CCGCCCGUCACACCACGAAAGCCUGCUGUACCCAAAGCUGGUAAGCUAACCCUGCAAGGGGAUGCAGCCAUCUAAGGUAUGGCCGGUGAUUGGGGUG
Molecule: ribosomal RNA, 97 nt
Filed under: uncultured bacterium
Lineage: Bacteria
Description: partial 16S ribosomal RNA
Rfam family: Bacterial small subunit ribosomal RNA
Source: RNAcentral